RNAcentral lists this unclassified non-coding RNA (1680 nucleotides) under Polistes fuscatus (common paper wasp). RNAcentral's name for it is "snurportin-1, transcript variant X1". Lineage: Eukaryota; Metazoa; Arthropoda; Insecta; Hymenoptera; Vespidae. The record is from RNAcentral.
UGAAGUCGUGGUCACCUUGUGUCUGAUAGCGGAACUAGUACGAUAGCCGCGGCUGUGGCGGAGUCCAACCGCAAGUCGCCACAACAUUUGGAUGCCGGAUACAUGUGGCGCUCAUACUCAUAGGUCAUCUUGUGGAUGCCGCCUAAGAGCGGUGCUCGAAGCGAAAGGAUUAGUUUUGUUUCUACUAAACGAGAAUACGGUUAUACACUAAAACAAAGUUAAAAUUAAUUAUUGAUCCACCAAAUCUUAUACUCUCCUUUCAUUCGGUCUACAACUUUCUUCAUUUUUUUUAUGAAUUAAAAUGAUACAUUUAUUUACAUGAUUAUAAAUCAAGUAAACAGUGAUAUUUACAGUAUAGAUAUGAUGAAGUUAUAGGUUAUACAGUGUUGUUAUAUAUAAACAAUAUUUAUUAUAGUAUAAUUAAGAAUUUUAGAAACGUGAUACUAUGGCAUCAAUGGAUAUUAACCUAGAAAAUAUUAACGAGAAACAAUGUAAAAAUGUACGAUCUGCGUUUUACAAGAAACCAAUUAAAAAAUAUAACUAUAAAUUAGAUGUUGACAGCAUUUACAAUCCUCAGGAGCUGAGACGAAAACAACUUUUAGAAAUUCAAAAAAGAAAUAGAAAUAUCGUAUUUAAUACUGGACGAGACAUAUUGGAUAUUUUUAACUCUGACAAUGAAGAUAAAGAAUAUAUGGAAAUUGAACAUUACAAUAAACCUUGGAAAAAAUAUGAACGAUGUAAACAUUAUGCUAAUCAAUUUAUGUUGUCAGAAUGGAUGUUCGAAGCACCUCAAGAUAUUCUGGAAAAAUGGAUUGUAGUUCCUUGUCCCGAAGGCAAAAGAACUUUACUAAUUGCGCACAAGAAUACAACAAAGGCUUUUAAUAGACGUGGUAACAGACUAGGAAAAUUUCAAUCUGCGCUGCCAGGAGGAAGUUCCAGUGAACAUCAUAGUCGUUGCACUAUUUUGGAUUGUAUAUGGGUAGAAAAUCGAAAAACAUAUUAUGUUUUGGAUGUACUGGCAUGGUCUAAUCAAUCCCUUUUAAAUUGUGAUACAGAAUUUCGAUUUUUUUGGUUAAAAUCAAAAUUUCAAGAAAUACAAGAAUUACAAAAAGGUGAUACCUGUAACAAUAAAUAUCCUAUUUUAUUUCUUCCACAUAUAAAUUUUGAUUGCAAUCUAGAAUCAUCGUUAGGAAAUUUAUAUGCAUUAGCACCAUUAGAUGGAUUAUUAUUUUAUCAUCGUGAUGGACUAUACACUAGAGGUCAUACACCUCUUGUGACAUGGUUGAAACUUUUUAUGUUACCUGAAAUACUUGGAAUAUCUUUAUCUCCAUUCGACGAUAAACCUGAUGAUUAUGUAGAUAUCAGACAUUAUUUAUUGAAUCUCAAGGAAAAGAAAAAUAAUGCAAAAACACUGACAACAAGUAUGGAUAUUGUGGAUGAGGAAGUCGAAAUGACAUAAGUUUUACCUUAAACAUAAUAUAGAUGACUGAAAAGAUGAACAAUAUAAAUAUAAAUUUCUCUGUCAUAUAUGAUAAUAUACGCUUUACACGAUGUGGGUCCAUUAUCUUCAUCUAAAAAAUGUUGCGGCUGACAAACUAAUUCUGUGUAAACUGCAUAAUCCUAAUUCUAAUCCAGCAAUGUUUUUUAUUUGAAUGUAUAAACACUUACGAAAUCUUUGAA